Molecule: long non-coding RNA, 546 nt
Organism: Drosophila erecta
Lineage: Eukaryota; Metazoa; Arthropoda; Insecta; Diptera; Drosophilidae
Exons: 4
Source: RefSeq, a predicted model, not a curated record
AGUCUUAAGCUGACAGUUUUAAAAUAAAGACGCUCACCGAAAUCGUUCGUGUUUUAAUUUAUACUUGGCUUCAGCGUUGAUCUUUGUCUUCGUUACAGACGGAUCAUUUAUUUGACUCAAGAAAAUAGUAACUACAAAAUUAUUACGUCCAUCCAUAUGACUGCUUGAGCGCGCAGGUACACUCCCUACUAUGAAGUCCCAUUCCAAGAUUGCUGGUUCACGAAGAUUCAUCGAAUUCUACGAAUAAUUUCAUCAAGCGUUAUGAGAUAUACACAUGCCCUACGGAACUAAAGGAAAACGGAUUUAAUACGUAAAGAAGUAAGGAGUUUACGCUUUACAAGCUUGUUAAAUGUGAGUUUGAGAGACUACUCUUUAACAACCAGGAAUCAGAACAUAGAGAUCCGAAAGAUAAGUGCGCUAUACGCCCUAAGAGAGGUGCUAAGUAAUAUAAGCUGAGAUGAUAAAUAGUAAAUAUAAUAUUAAGAGACAAAAUUGAGAAUGCAGUACAAGCUCUUAAGAGAAGAAAAACAAAAAAAAAUAUUAAUA